Molecule: long non-coding RNA, 293 nt
Filed under: Homo sapiens (human)
Lineage: Eukaryota; Metazoa; Chordata; Mammalia; Primates; Hominidae
Description: HSALNT0073329
Source: RNAcentral
UUUAUUGAGAGUAGUUAUAAAUGUGGAAUUGAUGGUAGCUGGACUCCGCAAGGAAUUUUUCACAUUGUUAUCUUUGGGGUGUGAACAAAAUCAAUUAUUAAAACUUUAACUUAAAAUUAUAUUUUUUGUGCUUCAAAGACCAUCAUCAAAAAGUAAAAAGUUAGUGCACCCAGAAUGGGACAAAAUAUUUAAAAAUUAUAUAUCUGAUUUGACCCAUAAUAUAUAAGUAGUUCUUAAAACUUAAUAAUAAGACAAAUAGAAAAGUUAAAAAUGUUCCAAGCGUUGGAAUAGAC